AGAAUCAACGCUGGCGGCGUGCCUAACACAUGCAAGUCGAACGAGAAAGUGGAGCAAUCCAUGAGUAAAGUGGCGCACGGGUGAGUAACACGUGACUACCUACCCUUGAGUGGGGGAUAACCUAGGGAAACCUGGGCUAAUACCGCAUAACACCUUCGGGUCAAAGGAGCAAUUCGCUUAAGGAGGGGUCGCGGCCGAUUAGUUAGUUGGCGGGGUAAUGGCCCACCAAGACGGUGAUCGGUAUCC
RNAcentral lists this ribosomal RNA (246 nucleotides) under uncultured bacterium. RNAcentral describes it as "partial small subunit ribosomal RNA". It matches the Rfam family "Bacterial small subunit ribosomal RNA", at positions 26 to 288 of the family's 1533-position model. The record is from RNAcentral.